AUUGAACGCUGGCGGCAUGCCUUACACAUGCAAGUCGAACGGCAGCACGGGAGCAAUCCUGGUGGCGAGUGGCGAACGGGUGAGUAAAGUAUCGGAACGUGCCCAGUCGUGGGGGAUAACGUAGCGAAAGUUACGCUCAUACCGCAUACGAUCUAUGGAUGAAAGCGGGGGAUCGCAAGACCUCGCUCGAUUGGAGCGGCCGAUAUCGGAUUAGGUAGUUGGUGGGGUAAAGGCUCACCAAGCCGACGAUCUGUAGCUGGUCUGAGAGGACGACCAGCCACACUGGGACUGAGACACGGCCCAGACUCCUACGGGAGGCAGCAGUGGGGAAUUUUGGACAAUGGGCGCAAGCCUGAUCCAGCCAUGCCGCGUGCAGGAUGAAGGCCUUCGGGUUGUAAACUGCUUUUGUACGGAACGAAAAGGUUUGACUUAAUACGUUGGACUCAUGACGGUACCGUAAGAAUAAGCACCGGCUAACUACGUGCCAGCCGCCGCUGUAA
This 500-nucleotide ribosomal RNA is filed under the name uncultured bacterium. RNAcentral describes it as "partial 16S ribosomal RNA". It matches the Rfam family "Bacterial small subunit ribosomal RNA", at positions 30 to 523 of the family's 1533-position model. The record is from RNAcentral.